UGCCCAGUCCAGUGGCAGUAUCAUAGCCAAUGAGGUUUAUCCGAGGCACAAUUAUUGCUAAUUUAAAACUUUUCCCAAAAUAUACCAGAGUCACAAAAAGAGAAAGCUAUGAUCCUAAUCUCUUAUAAACAUUUAAGC
Small nuclear RNA from Neomonachus schauinslandi (Hawaiian monk seal), 138 nucleotides. RefSeq annotates it as U4 spliceosomal RNA. Lineage: Eukaryota; Metazoa; Chordata; Mammalia; Carnivora; Phocidae. The transcript has a single exon. The record is from RefSeq and is a predicted model, not a curated record.